UGCAAGUCGAGCGGAUCGAUGGGAGCUUGCUCCCUGAGAUCAGCGGCGGACGGGUGAGUAACACGUGGGUAACCUGCCUGUAAGACUGGGAUAACUCCGGGAAACCGGGGCUAAUACCGGAUAACACCUACCCCCGCAUGGGGGAAGGUUGAAAGGUGGCUUCGGCUAUCACUUACAGAUGGACCCGCGGCGCAUUAGCUAGUUGGUGAGGUAAUGGCUCACCAAGGCGACGAUGCGUAGCCGACCUGAGAGGGUGAUCGGCCACACUGGGACUGAGACACGGCCCAGACUCCUACGGGAGGCAGCAGUAGGGAAUCUUCCGCAAUGGACGAAAGUCUGACGGAGCAACGCCGCGUGAGUGAAGAAGGUUUUCGGAUCGUAAAACUCUGUUGUUAGGGAAGAACAAGUGCCGUUCGAAUAGGGCGGCGCCUUGACGGUACCUAACCAGAAAGCCACGGCUAACUACGUGCCAGCAGCCGCGGUAAUACGUAGGUGGCAAGCGUUGUCCGGAAUUAUUGGGCGUAAAGCGCGCGCAGGUGGUUUCUUAAGUCUGAUGUGAAAGCCCACGGCUCAACCGUGGAGGGUCAUUGGAAACUGGGGAACUUGAGUGCAGAAGAGGAAAGUGGAAUUCCAAGUGUAGCGGUGAAAUGCGUAGAUAUUUGGAGGAACACCAGUGGCGAAGGCGACUUUCUGGUCUGUAACUGACACUGAGGCGCG
Molecule: ribosomal RNA, 717 nt
Filed under: Rossellomorea marisflavi
Lineage: Bacteria; Bacillati; Bacillota; Bacilli; Caryophanales; Bacillaceae
Description: bacterial SSU rRNA
Rfam family: Bacterial small subunit ribosomal RNA
Source: RNAcentral